Molecule: ribosomal RNA, 558 nt
Filed under: Eurotiomycetes sp.
Lineage: Eukaryota; Fungi; Ascomycota; Eurotiomycetes
Description: eukaryotic LSU rRNA
Rfam family: 5.8S ribosomal RNA (bases 222-375)
Source: RNAcentral
CUGCGGAAGGAUCAUUACUGAGUUAGGGUCUCAUCUCGAGCCCGAACCUCCAACCCUUUGUAUAAAACACUUUGUUGCUUUGGCAGGCCCGUCUGAAAAUCCUUUCACCGGGAUCGACGACCGCCGGGGGCGUUUAGUCACCUCUGGCCAGUGCUUGCCGAUAGCCUAUUCAAAAUUCUUUAUUAAAUCAUGUCUGAAAAAUUAUAACUAAAUAUAAUUAAAACUUUUAACAACGGAUCUCUUGGUUCUGGCAUCGAUGAAGAACGCAGCGAAAUGCGAUAAGUAAUGUGAAUUGCAGAAUUCAGUGAAUCAUCGAAUCUUUGAACGCACAUUGCGCCCUUUGGUAUUCCGAAGGGCAUGCCUGUUCGAGCGUCAUUAUCAACCCUCAAGCUCGGCUUGUUAUUGGGCUCUUAUCGUUAAAGAUAGGCCCGAAAGAUAAUGGCGGCGUCAUAAAUGACCCCAGAUGCAGCGAGCUUAUAGCAUACAUCGAAAGGUUUUUAUGGCCCGGCCUUAACGAGAAGCAAUUCUCAAUUUAUUUCAAGGUUGACCUCGGAUCAG